This is a small nuclear RNA of Panthera leo (lion), 111 nucleotides long. Lineage: Eukaryota; Metazoa; Chordata; Mammalia; Carnivora; Felidae. The record is from Ensembl.
GUGCUUGCUGCAUGAAGCAGCACAUGUGCUAAAAUUGGAACCAUACAGAGAAGAUGAGUAUGGCCCCUGCACAAAGAUGACAUGCAAAUUCAUGAAGCUUACAUAUUUUUG